GGGGGGGGGGGGGGGGGGGGUUGGCGGGUGGGGGGCGGACGGGGGGGCCCUGGUGUUGUGGGGUGCUCGAGUGGCGAACGGGUGAGUAACACGUGAGUGACCUGCCCUUGCCUUUGGGAUAACUUCAGGACACUUGGGCUCAUACCGGAUAGGCGCUCCUGCUGCAUGGUGGGGGUUUGAAAGUUUCGGCGGUUGGGUAUUGACUCUCGGCUUAUCAGCUUGUGUGUUGGUUAGUGGCUUCCCAAGGCUUGGACGGGUCGCCGGCCGGAGAGGGUGACCGGCCACAUUGGGACGGAGAUACGGCCCAGACUCCUACGGGAUGAAGCAGGGGGGAAUAUUGCACAAUGGGCGGAAGCCUGAUGCAGCAACGCCGCGUGCGGGAUGACGGCCUUCGGGUGGUAAACCGCUUUCGCCUGUGACGAAGCGUGAGUGACGGUAAUGGGUAAAGAAGCACCGGCUAACUACGUG
RNAcentral lists this ribosomal RNA (468 nucleotides) under uncultured bacterium. RNAcentral describes it as "partial 16S ribosomal RNA". The stretch from base 58 to 468 matches the Rfam family "Bacterial small subunit ribosomal RNA", at positions 39 to 507 of the family's 1533-position model. The record is from RNAcentral.